Molecule: ribosomal RNA, 301 nt
Filed under: uncultured bacterium
Lineage: Bacteria
Description: partial 16S ribosomal RNA
Rfam family: Bacterial small subunit ribosomal RNA
Source: RNAcentral
CAGCAGCCGCGGUAAUACAGAGGGUGCGAGCGUUAAUCGGAUUUACUGGGCGUAAAGCGUGCGUAGGCGGCUUUUUAAGGCGGAUGUGAAAUCCCUGAGCUUAACUUAGGAAUUGCAUUCGAUACUGGGAAGCUAGAGUAUGGGAGAGGAUGGUAGAAUUCCAGGUGUAGCGGUGAAAUGCGUAGAGAUCUGGAGGAAUACCGAUGGCGAAGGCAGCCAUCUGGCCUAAUACUGACGCUGAGGUACGAAAGCAUGGGGAGCAAACAGGAUUAGAGACCCCUGUAGUCCCUGUCUCUUAUAC